Long non-coding RNA from Lycium barbarum (goji berry), 868 nucleotides. RefSeq lists it as uncharacterized. The transcript is spliced from 3 exons. NCBI's taxonomy places the organism in Eukaryota, Viridiplantae, Streptophyta, Magnoliopsida, Solanales, Solanaceae. The record is from RefSeq and is a predicted model, not a curated record.
AGAAGGAAGAAAGCAAGAGCAAGAGAGAGGGGGUUCGGCACCGCUUCAAAAGAAAUUUUUGAGCUCAAAUUUUUAGUCCAAAAAAAUUCAUCCAUUGUUGAAUUAAUACUAAGAUCAAGGUCCUCUUCUAUGUGAUACCAAUUUGGAAGCAAAAGAGUGUUUUUUUUUCAAAGAAGAGAAUUUGGAAAAAGAUUUUGGCGAACUUGAGAUUCGAUUUUCGAGACGAGUAGGAAGCGAAAGAGGUACAGAGGUUCGUGAUUUAUCAGUGUAGGCCACACAUUCUGCUAUUACAGAGUGCUCCUUUUGAUCCGGAGCCCUUAUGUUGGUACCUAUCUUCUGCGAUGUUUAUGCUUUUGUAUAUUUGAUUAUUUGGGGUACGGCGGGGCCCUAUCCCGUCAUAUGAUUCCGUUUUGGUUUGUAGAGGCCGGUAGUCAUAUAUGUAGGUAAUGGGUCAUGUGUGUGUGUUCGUUUGUCUAUGAUCUACAUCUGAAUGCGGUCCCGUCGGUUAUGGCGGCCAUAAUGGCCCGUAUGUUUAUAUAUGUGUAUAUCUGAUCGACGAUGUGUAUUUCGCCGCCCCUUCUGACUAUGACAUGAUAAUUUUUACACGUGCGACCGCUUAAGAUAAUGUUUGUUUUCAAUCUGUUUGAGAUGAUUAAUAUGAAAGUCUGGGAUAGAUAAAAAUAUGUCGAGUCAGUAUGUAAGUCUGUUUGGGGUGUCCAAAUAGGACAUCAUUCGCGGGCCACGGAGCUGGGUCGUGAUAAAAGUGGUAUCAGAGCGGUUUGUUCUCGGAAUGUCUACAUGCCGUGUCUCGUAGAGUCUUAUUUAUCGGUGUGUUGUGCACCACAUCUAUAAACAGGAGGCUGCAUGA